Molecule: ribosomal RNA, 279 nt
Filed under: uncultured bacterium
Lineage: Bacteria
Description: partial 16S ribosomal RNA
Rfam family: Bacterial small subunit ribosomal RNA
Source: RNAcentral
UGCCAGCCGCCGCGGUAAUACGGAGGGGGUUAGCGUUGUUCGGAAUUACUGGGCGUAAAGCGCACGUAGGCGGAUUAGUAAGUUAGGGGUGAAAUCCCGGGGCUCAACCCCGGAACUGCCUUCGAUACUGGUAGUCUUGAGGUCGAGAGAGGUGAGUGGAAUUCCUAGUGUAGAGGUGAAAUUCGUAGAUAUUAGGAGGAACACCAGAGGCGAAGGCGGCUUUCUGGUCCGUUACUGACGCUGAGGCGCGAAAGCGUGGGGAGCAAACAGGAUUAGAUA